UCGAGCGGAAAGGCCCUUUCGGGGGUACUCGAGCGGCGAACGGGUGAGUAGACACGUGAGUAAUCUGCCCUGGACUCUGGGAUAGCCACCGGAAACGGUGAUUAAUACCGGAUAUGACCACUCUAGGCAUCUAGUGGUGGUGGAAAGUUUUUCGGUCCAGGAUGUGCUCGCGGCCUAUCAGCUUGUUGGUGAGGUAAUGGCUCACCAAGGCUUUGACGGGUAGCCGGCCUGAGAGGGUGACCGGUCACACUGGGACUGAGACACGGCCCAGACUCCUACGGGAGGCAGCAGUGGGGAAUAUUGGACAAUGGGCGGAAGCCUGAUCCAGCAACGCCGCGUGAGGGAUGACGGCCUUCGGGUUGUAAACCUCUUUCAGUACCGACGAAGCGAAAGUGACGGUAGGUACAGAAGAAGGACCGGCCAACUACGUGCCAGCAGCCGCGGUAAUACGUAGGGUCCGAGCGUUGUCCGGAAUUAUUGGGCGUAAAGGGCUCGUAGGCGGUUUGUCGCGUCGGGAGUGAAAACAGCGGGCUUAACUCGUUGCUUGCUUUCGAUACGGGCAGACUAGAGGUAUGCAGGGGAGAAUGGAAUUCCUGGUGUAGCGGUGAAAUGCGCAGAUAUCAGGAGGAACACCGGUGGCGAAGGCGGUUCUCUGGGCAUUACCUGACGCUGAGGAGCGAAAGUGUGGGGAGCGAACAGGAUUAGAUACCCUGGUAGUCCACACCGUAAACGUUGGGCGCUAGGUGUGGGGUCCUUUCCACGG
This 763-nucleotide ribosomal RNA is filed under the name uncultured bacterium. Its description in RNAcentral is "bacterial SSU rRNA". It matches the Rfam family "Bacterial small subunit ribosomal RNA", at positions 62 to 837 of the family's 1533-position model. The record is from RNAcentral.